This 465-nucleotide ribosomal RNA is filed under the name uncultured bacterium. RNAcentral's name for it is "partial 16S ribosomal RNA". It matches the Rfam family "Bacterial small subunit ribosomal RNA", at positions 338 to 795 of the family's 1533-position model. The record is from RNAcentral.
CCUACGGGAGUCAGCAGUGGGGAAUCUUCCACAAUGGACGAAAGUCUGAUGGAGCAACGCCGCUGGGGUGAAGAAGGGUUUCGGCUCGUAAAGCUCUGUUGGUAGUGAAGAAAGAUAGAGGUAGUAACUGGCCUUUAUUUGACGGUAAUUACUUGGAAAGUCACGGCUAACUACGUGCCAACAGCCGCGGUAAUACGUAGGUUGCAAGCGUUGUCCGGAUUUAUUAGGCGUAAAGCGAGUUCAGGCGGUUCAAUAAGUCUGAUGUGAAAGUCUUCGGCUCAACCUGAGAAUUGCAUCAGAAACUUUUGAACUUGAGUGAAGAAGAGGAGAGUGGAACUCCAUGUGUAGCGGUGGAAUGCGUAGAUAUAUGGAAGAACACCAGUGGCGAAGGCGGCUCUCUGGGCUGCAACUGACGCUGAGGCUCGAAAGCAUGGGUAGCGAACAGGAUUAGAUACCCCAGUAGUC